GUCAGUUGUUCUCUCUCUAAGAAUCUACUCUUCUGACAACAAGAAACCUCAUUUUCCCUGAUGUCUCCAUUGCGUUCCUUCGCUUGCGAUCUCCUUUACACAGAAAGAGGCAGAGCCCAGGCCCAGCAACACAGUGCUUCUGCACCUCGCACAGCAGGACUUUCAAAACCUGCAAAUGAAGAGCAUUGGAAAACAAGACUUGCUUUAGUGAGAAAGUGGCCUCACUCUGCUGAUAAUUAUCUACUUCCAAAUAGUGUUACCAGGACAGCAGAAACAUGAACCUUCUUGCCAAUGGAAAUCACUUUCUCCUGCUUUCCCUCCAUCUCGGCUUGAAAUGUUUAGUAAUGCACAGGAAAUGUGCUAAGUGAGACCUGCAAACGUGGGCUUCCAAGAUCCAAGCUAAUUACGUGCUAAGCAAUCUGUGGCGGUGGCAGCAGUGCCAAGGAGCCAGAAAGGAUGUUGAAGUAGGAUGCCUUUCAGGGCCUCCCUUUUCCCCUCCUAUUUACAUCUUAAUCUCCCCUACCCAACACAUUUUCCCUCUCUCAAGAAAGAACACGUAUCCACGUCUCCUUAGCAAAAACCAAUAAACAAACAAGAAGAGGCAACUAAAACACCAGACCCACAUCUUGAAGGAAAGGAAACCACUGAGAGUGAAAAAUGGCUGUAGCCCCUCUCUGUCCACAUGUCUGACCUGUCUUCUAGUUGAGUGUGAUGGAGCUGCAUGAGAUUCAAGCCCAUUGUUAAUCUUGGGCAACACAAAGCAUUUUUUUAAGGCAGAUAGUGCUAUUGCAGAGUUUAAUGGCUAAUGUGUUUGUGAACUACCAGCCUGUUGCUCAUCCAUGUUGUGUCAAUUUUUGGAGAAUGAUUAAGGCUAAGCAUUAAAGGAUGCCCAUGAGAAGUGUGGAGAGAGACCCAGAUUGCUCCACUUUCUGUACUUCAUCUACUGGGUAAAUGUGUGCAAAUUGUGAAACUUCAAGAGACAUAGUUCCUUACCUAUAGAAUAAAGUGGUUGGGGAGAACUAUAGAAGGCCACUUGUAACUCCUUGAUGCUUUGCCUAAUUCAUUC
This is a long non-coding RNA of Peromyscus eremicus (cactus mouse), 1066 nucleotides long. RefSeq lists it as uncharacterized. The record is from RefSeq and is a predicted model, not a curated record. NCBI's taxonomy places the organism in Eukaryota, Metazoa, Chordata, Mammalia, Rodentia, Cricetidae. The transcript is spliced from 3 exons.